GGAGGGAUGGCCGAGUGGUUUAAGGCGGCGGUCUUGAAAACCGCUGUACCGUCAGGUACCGUGGGUUCGAAUCCUACUCCCUCCGCCA
Molecule: transfer RNA, 88 nt
Filed under: Desulfomonilia bacterium
Lineage: Bacteria; Pseudomonadati; Thermodesulfobacteriota; Desulfomonilia
Description: tRNA-Ser
Rfam family: tRNA
About the family: Transfer RNA (tRNA) molecules are approximately 80 nucleotides in length. Their secondary structure includes four short double-helical elements and three loops (D, anti-codon, and T loops). Further hydrogen bonds mediate the characteristic L-shaped molecular structure. tRNAs have two regions of fundamental functional importance: the anti-codon, which is responsible for specific mRNA codon recognition, and the 3' end, to which the tRNAs corresponding amino acid is attached (by aminoacyl-tRNA synthetases). tRNAs cope with the degeneracy of the genetic code in two manners: having more than one tRNA (with a specific anti-codon) for a particular amino acid; and 'wobble' base-pairing, i.e. permitting non-standard base-pairing at the 3rd anti-codon position.
Source: RNAcentral